RNAcentral lists this long non-coding RNA (803 nucleotides) under Physcomitrium patens. Its description in RNAcentral is "long non-coding RNA (PPAT_LNC006278)". Lineage: Eukaryota; Viridiplantae; Streptophyta; Bryopsida; Funariales; Funariaceae. The record is from RNAcentral.
UUAAGAUCAACAGUUCAUUCAUUAGUUAUUGAGGUUUAAUUCUAUCAUAGAAAUUAUUAGAGUUUGGUUAGGGUUUGGUUAGGGUUUGAUUUAGGAUUAGGAUUUGGUUAGAGUUUAGUUAGGAUUUGAUUAGGAUUUGGUUAGAGUUUGGUUAAGAUUUGAUUAGGAUUUGAUUUGAGAUUAGGAUUUGGUUAGAGUUUGGUUAGGAUUUGAUUUAAGAUUAAGGUUUGGUUUAGGGUUUAGAUUAGGAUUUGGUUAGGAUUUGAUUUAGGACUAGGAUUUGAUUAGAGUUUGAUUUAGGAUUUAGGAUUUGAUUUAGGACUAGGAUUUGAUUAGAAUUUGAUUUAGAAUUUAGGAUUUGAUUUAGGAUUUAGGGUUUGAUUUAGAGUUUAAGGUUUGGUUAGGAUUUGAUGAGGAUUUGAUUUAAAUUUUAGAAUUUUAUUUGAAUUUGUUUAGGAUUUAAGAUUUAGUUAGUUUUUGGCUUAAAAUUUGAAUGAAGUCCAAUAAGAUUUCAACUAGGAUUAAAUUAAGAUUGAAUUGAGAUGUAUUUGAGAUAUGUUUGUAAUCAUUCAAAUAUUUCUUUAAGAUUUUUUAUUAUUUCUUUGGAAUUCCUUUGAGGUUUUUUUGAAUUUGAUUAAAGCUUAUUUAGCAUUAUUAGUGUUCUAUUAGAAUUAAGAUUUUGUUGUUGCAAUUUCUAUUUUACCUUCUACAUCCAGGUGUCCAGAGCAUUCUCAUGUAAGACUUUACGUAGUACGACAACGAUGCAUUGUAGGAACCUACAUAGAACCUCAUCCAUUGCCAAG